GAGUUUGAUCCUGGUUCAGGACGAACGCUGGCGGCGUGCUUAACACAUGCAAGUCGAACGGGAGUAUAGAGGGAGCUUGCUUUUGAUAUACUUUAGUGGCGGACGGGUGAGUAACGCGUGAGGAGCUGUCCAGUACAGGGGGACAACAGAUGGAAACGUCUGCUAAUACCCCAUAAGCCUAAGGGUAAAAGGAGCGAUCCGGAACACGAGGCACUCGCGUCCUAUCAGCUAGUAGGUGAGGUAACGGCUCACCCAGGCGAAGACGGGUAGCCGGCCUGAGAGGGCGAACGGCCACACUGGAACUGAGAGACGGUCCAGACUCCUACGGGAGGCAGCAGUGGGGAAUAUUGGGCAAUGGGGGCAACCCUGACCCAGCGACGUCGCGUGGGUGACGGAAUCCUUCGGGAUGUAAAGCCCUGUUGUAUGGGAAGAUGAAAGAGACGGUACCAUACGAGGAAGCCCCGGCAAACUACGUGCCAGCAGCCGCGGUAAUACGUAGGGGGCAAGCGUUGUCCGGAAUUACUGGGCGUAAAGCGCACGCAGGCGGAAUAUCAAGUCGGUUGUAAAAGGCAGUGGCUCAACCACUGUA
This 589-nucleotide ribosomal RNA is filed under the name uncultured Synergistaceae bacterium. RNAcentral's name for it is "bacterial SSU rRNA". It matches the Rfam family "Bacterial small subunit ribosomal RNA", at positions 9 to 620 of the family's 1533-position model. Lineage: Bacteria; Thermotogati; Synergistota; Synergistia; Synergistales; Synergistaceae. The record is from RNAcentral.